RNAcentral lists this long non-coding RNA (306 nucleotides) under Carica papaya (papaya). RNAcentral describes it as "long non-coding RNA (CPAP_LNC007497)". Lineage: Eukaryota; Viridiplantae; Streptophyta; Magnoliopsida; Brassicales; Caricaceae. The record is from RNAcentral.
UUUUGGUGUCAUUAAUCAGCUCAGGGAGGUUCCCCUGUUCAAACACCUUUUAACAACGAGAUAUAACUUCCCUCCCAAUAACACUCCAAAAUCUCUUAAGAAAGCUGGGUUCAUCCCAUCAGGUCCAAGCGACUUGUUGAGAUGCAUUUGAAAAGUCGUCACUUUAAUUUCUUCAGCACUAAGAGGGGCUACCAGUUGCUUAUUAGCCUAUGUUCUGAAUUUGUUAGUCACUUGACUGACCACGUCUUCAUAUUCCCCAUCUGAGGCCUUGAAGAGUUAUGUGAAAUUUGGAUUAUAUGCUCUUGC